ACCCGCGGCCCCCGCGCGCCCCCCGCCGCGCCCGCUACAGGGGGUCUGUAUGCCUGGCCCCCUGGGACGCGCUCCGCGCCCACGCCCUGGCCCGGCGCGCGCGCGUGCCCACACUCUCUCUCUCUCUCACACACUCGCGCGCGCACACGUGGUGGCUUUUAUUUCUUUGCACGUGUUUAUGGUCUUCCUCCUAGAGCCUUCUACCUCCCUCAGCCCCACCUCCUCCACCUCUACAGAUUCAGCCGUCUCCCCGAACACACCCAAUCAGCUGCCCCGCAGUUUUAGGCACGGAAGGCGAGAGCCAGGCAGACCUGGGACUCGGGCUGCGCGGAUAAUUGGGAGCGAUUAGGUCCCGAGAUACGUAAAUUUCAACCGCGAGGGGCGCCCGGGAGCUGGGAAAGGCAAAGGGAGGACGUGCGCCCGUGUGAGGCUUGUGAGAGUGUAUUGGAGAGGGAGGUUCUGAUGGAGUCUGGCAUGACCAGGUGGAAGACUCAGUGUGUGUGAUUCUGAGAGUCUCUCUAACCGUGGCGUGCAGAGGAAGUUUAUAAAACAGAUGGAGCCACAACCCAGAGCUGGCAACUGUGUCCAGGGAAUGAGAAAUGCUCUCAGAGUCGUACACACAGCAUGUAUGUGACCUUGGGCAAACCACUGACCUCUCUAAGCAUCAGCCAUCUGAAAAAUGUGGAAAUGGCCAGGAAAUUUUUGAAGCAGAGAAGUCACUUGGAGAAAAUGAACGGCUCUCAUUUAUUUUUAUCAACCAUUCUUUGUGUCCUGAGUUAUUCCCGAGGUUUUGAAUACCUACAGUAUUUUUCUCAGUCAUCAUAAUCCCCUCACUGUGGUCCUGAUUCGGAGCUAUUUUGUUCACUACUCAGAGCUUCAUUCAUUACUCAAACACGGGGAGGGAGUGGGGGGCAGAUAAAGAAGGAGAGGCUUGAUUCUUUGACACAUGGCUCUUGCAUUUUUCCUUGAGAAGAGGGUUGGUUUGGUGCCACAAGAUAAAGAGCACUUUACAAAGGCCUCCCUUUGGUGGUGGAGCAGAUUUGCACACAAAUGCAGAGCAACUUACCCUGGCACUCAAAUAAAGGGAUCCUCUAGUUCUUAAACCCUGCCUUACCUAUGGAAAAGGGUCUGAUUAUGUGACAGUUGUUAAACAUCCUCAGUGUUGUAGCCGCUGCCCAGACACAUCAAACUCACAGGCCAAAUCCACACGCCAUGUGAUAAUACCAAUCUAUUAAAAAUGUUUGAUGGCUCCUAAGACAGUUGCAGCUGUUAUUAUUUGUUACAGGAGCCAGAAUUUUCUUUCACUCAGAGAUCUGUGUAGUUUGCAAACAUGUAAGUAUAGGAAUGUGUCCUGAAGCAUUGUUUUAUCAUUAAAAAAAUGCAGAAACAACAUAGAAUUCUGACAUUAUCAACUAGUUAAAGCAACAGUGGCAAAACUGUCCAAGGGAAAAUUGCAUUCUUUGAAAAGAAGGAAGUAAAUAUGCAUGACGUGGUAUGUCAUGGUUUCUAAAAUGAAUUAGUAGUGAAAAAAAUCAGGGUAUAAAAGUGCAU
Mustela erminea (ermine) is the source of this 1551-nucleotide long non-coding RNA. RefSeq lists it as uncharacterized. Lineage: Eukaryota; Metazoa; Chordata; Mammalia; Carnivora; Mustelidae. The transcript has 3 exons. The record is from RefSeq and is a predicted model, not a curated record.